CACCCUGGGCAAAUGUCUAUUCCCCGGGGCUAAAGCUCUGAGUUCCGGAUUGGAUUGCAAGGCAGUUUCGAAAUCUAACACGUUGUGGAUAGACACUUGUCAUACUCACAUGCUCUUUAAACGUCUCGGCUAGGGGACGGCCAGAACGUGCGUGUGUGUGACCCACUACGACUCCCCCACCCCCCACACGCCUUUAGAAAAAAGAUGGACGAGUACGCCUGGACUGCUCAUCUGUUUCGGUAAACAGUGUCUACUUUGUGGGCUAAUAUCCCACCAGAGGACACUCCCCUCCACCCUUCAGUAUUUCAAACAGAAACUAGCCAUUAAAUAAACACUCGUUCCUAUUGGUUUAUUUUGCUUGAGAGGGGCGCUCCAAAGGGAUUUCCAGGAAGAAUCCCCCCCUCCCCAAAUACAAGCCAGAUGCUGUUUUGGCCAACUUCAAGACGCACAUGCCCGCACUUCUGGGUCUAGAUUCUACCUAUGCCCGGUUGUUUAAAAAAAAAAAAAUGCAAAGAAAACCAACUGUCACAUGUCACAGAAGACUUUCCCCAUUAGAGGGGGGGGGGAAAAACGAAGAAAAACCCCAAACGUAAAUAAGCUUUGUAGCGACGUCACCGCCGGUGUCUCUAGUUUCGGCUCUGUGGCUGUUCUGGUUUUGUGACCUCGGUGGAGAUCCGGCAGGAGGAGACAGCCCCGUGAAAACAAGGUUAAAGCCGAGUCACACUAAGGCGGCCACAGGAUGACCCGCUAGACUUUGGAACCUGUUUACGAUUACGUUGGAAAUGAAAGCAAGCCUCCGCCGCGCCCCCUUCCCAAAGACAACCCGUUCCGAGGAGCGCGUUAAAACCCCCGAGUCAAAAAAGAAGCUUGGGUGGUUUUUCCAAAAUGAACCAAGUGGAGGAAGAGUCACAGUAAGCAGGCAGGAAUCUCAAAACGACCCUCCCCUCCCCCCAAAUCCUGUGGUUUGCAGAGCGCUCGCUCGGGAAGAGAGCACACGCGGGAAUCGGCGCAGGCGGCGGUUGCACGGCAGUGUCCAGGGCGAACCCACCGGCUGGCAAGCACCUCCGCAAGCCGCCCGGGGCGCAGCGCUUUCCGGGACCUGACUGGGGAUGACUCAGCUACUGCGCUCCAGUGCGGGACUCCUGUGGUGCGGGAGGGGGCCCGCGGAGGGCCCGGGCGCCCGUUGGAGGGCCCUCGCUCUGGGGUUUGAAGGGGUGUUUGUGGCUGGGAUUGGUGGCUCACAUCCGCCGGGGACUCGGGAGAGAUGGGAGGACAGACGCAGGGAGGAGGAGCUGGACGGCGUGAGUGGCAGGAGCCGAGUCCCGACCUGGCCGUGACUGCUUCGUCGCUUUGUUUGCUAACUUGGACUGUGGCUUUCGGGGGGCCACCCCACGGAACCCGCCUCGGGUCCGCUAAGCCCAACCCACGGCAGCACGAGGCCGAAACGUUCCUUCCCGGCGGUUACUCGCGGCCACGCGGUGGCUCUCAUUAUGUACACAAAGGGCGAGCGGGAGCCGGUACAGAGUAGAAGAAGCCUCUCUCAAACCGGGACGGGAGGGGAAAUGCAGAAUUAAAACUCACCGUGACGCGAAGGCCAGCCGGACCCCGCCAAUGCACACCUCCUGCUCGUGUAAAUCAUUUCGAGGCAGUUGGGAAGCCGGAGCGCGCUGGCCGGGUUCUGAGAUCAGCUGAAGCCCCACGGUGCCCCUCCCCCCAGCCCCACUCCACCCCUAAGGCCGAGCUCGUUGGGAGUUUCGCGUUCCCGCAGGACUGUGCGCCGGGUCUUUUACAACUCCAGAAAAGGGGAACGCCCCCGCCCCCCUCCUCCCCGGCGCGAGCUCAUAACAUCCGCAAUAUUUUUUUUUUUAAUCCGCUGUCUGCACGGCGGAAAAACAAGCUUCGGUUCUGGCUGUGUCAGGGCCUCUCGGUGUAACUGAUUCAAGUGACUUCGGGUUAGUUGCUGUUGCCACGUGUUAAACUUACUGAACGCUUAUGCCUCAUAAUCAAAUUGUCUAAGUGCAA
Long non-coding RNA from Rattus rattus (black rat), 2022 nucleotides. RefSeq lists it as uncharacterized. The record is from RefSeq and is a predicted model, not a curated record. The transcript is spliced from 2 exons. Lineage: Eukaryota; Metazoa; Chordata; Mammalia; Rodentia; Muridae.